CGAGUAAACAAGGCAGUCGCGGGAAGAAUACCGCAAGGUGCUUUUCGAGGAAAGUCCGAGCUCCGCAGGGCAGGGUGCUGGGUAAUACCCAGUGAGGGUAACCUUAAGGCCAGUGCCACAGAAAAAAUACCGCCCGGCAAUUUUGCCGGGUAAGGGUGCAACGGUGCGGUAAGAGCGCACCAGGAACCGGGAGACCGGUUUGCUAGGUAAACCCCACCCGGAGCAAGACCAAAUAGGAGGGGGAUGAGGUUGCCCGCCGACUCCUCGGGUAAGGUCGCUGGAGGUGCCAGGCAACUGGCGUCCAAGAUAGAUGGCUGCCACUGUAAUUUUCGGCCAGGCCGGAAGUUAGCAGAACAGAACUCGGCUUAUUAGUUUGCUCGGUCC
RNAcentral lists this RNase P RNA (384 nucleotides) under Bacillota bacterium. Its description in RNAcentral is "RNase P RNA component class A". It matches the Rfam family "Bacterial RNase P class A". Rfam says of the family: Ribonuclease P (RNase P) is a ubiquitous endoribonuclease, found in archaea, bacteria and eukarya as well as chloroplasts and mitochondria. Its best characterised activity is the generation of mature 5'-ends of tRNAs by cleaving the 5'-leader elements of precursor-tRNAs. Lineage: Bacteria; Bacillati; Bacillota. The record is from RNAcentral.